GGGUUGUGAGGUUAAGCGACUAAGCGUACACGGUGGAUGCCCUGGCAGUCAGAGGCGAUGAAGGGCGUGCUAAUCUGCGAUAAGCGCCGGUAAGGUGAUAUGAACCGUUAUAACCGGCGAUACCCGAAUGGGGAAACCCAGUGUGACUCGUCACACUAUCAUUAACUGAAUCCAUAGGUUAAUGAGGCGAACCGGGGGAACUGAAACAUCUAAGUACCCCGAGGAAAAGA
This 230-nucleotide ribosomal RNA is filed under the name Salmonella enterica. RNAcentral's name for it is "partial 23S ribosomal RNA". It matches the Rfam family "Bacterial large subunit ribosomal RNA", at positions 1 to 222 of the family's 2925-position model. Lineage: Bacteria; Pseudomonadati; Pseudomonadota; Gammaproteobacteria; Enterobacterales; Enterobacteriaceae. The record is from RNAcentral.